GGCGUUUUUACGUGGCUGCCCCUGUACGAAUAAGCCACCGCCGCUGCAAAAACAGAAAUGGCUUUUCACCUCCCGCGUCCCCAAAUCCGGGCGCAAAAUUUCUCUCCCAAAACCAUCCUCCCUCUUCUCUCCCCAAAUCGUCUCAUCCCCAAAUCGUGCACGUGCUAAUAUUUCUCUCCCAAAACCCUUCUUCCCUCUUCUCUUCCAAAUUGCCCCAUCCCCAAAUCCCGAAAGUCUCUCUCUCUCCAACGUCCCUCCACUCCUCAAUCAAUUGUUCCUCUCUUGCUCUCAGUCUCAAUUUCCUCUCUCUCUCUCUCUCUCUCUCUCUCUAUCUCUUUCGUUGAAGAUGGUCGGUUUGCCAUCCACGCCGACAUCGACGCUGAUAGAGGUGAGUUUGGGGAUGAUCAGAUCUCUGAGUUCAAGGAGGCAUUUGGCAUGGGAAGUUGAAUGAAGCAUAAAUGGUGUUUGACGAAAUGUGUAAGAGAGGGAUAAGUGCUGCUAAUGCAACAUUAGCUGCUUUGGUUUAUGGAGGGAAUAAGAUAGCUUGAUGCUGAGACUCAACAAUACGGGGCUGAAGAGCUACAAAGCAUUAAACAAAUACGGGUUUGUUAGUGGUGCUCUAUUUAAUGUAGAAGUUGUCCAUAUUCAGGGACGGUUUGGUAGACGCCUAAAUUGAGUUCAUCUCAUAUUCGUCAAUCUUUAUCAUGUAUUAGAGAUCACAUUUCAGGAUUAAAAAGAAUCUUGAUAACCAACAUUCAUUAUCUCUAAUACAUAUUAUGAGUAAAUAAAAUGAGAUGAACUCAUUUUUAAGUGUCUAGCAAACAACCCUGUAUAUAAUGCAUGAAAAUGUUUCCUUGUUAUUGUUUCCAUACAUUUUUUUUUUAUAUUGUUGAAUCUUAAAAUUUUUUAUAUUGAAGCAUGUUUUUAACUUCUUUUUUUUUUU
This is a long non-coding RNA of Magnolia sinica, 943 nucleotides long. RefSeq lists it as uncharacterized. The record is from RefSeq and is a predicted model, not a curated record. NCBI's taxonomy places the organism in Eukaryota, Viridiplantae, Streptophyta, Magnoliopsida, Magnoliales, Magnoliaceae. The transcript has 3 exons.